CGGGCUAAACCCGCGUACAUGCCACCGGGGCAUCCCGGAGGCAGGAAAGGCUUCGGCCGGACAGGGAUGGGCAUGCGGCGCAUUAGGCAGUAGGCGGGGUAACGGCCCACCUAACCGACGAUGCGUAGGGGUUCUGAGAGGAAGGUCCCCCACACUGGUACCGAGACACGGACCAGACUCCUACGGGAGGCAGCAGUGAGGAAUAUUGGUCAAUGGUCGGGAGACUGAACCAGCCAAGCCGCGUGAGGGAGGAAGGUACAGAGUAUCGUAAACCUCUUUUGUCAGGGAACAAAGACUGGGACGCGUCCCCGGAUGAGUGUACCUGAAGAAAAAGCAUCGGCUAACUCCGUGCCAGCAGCCGCGGUAAUACGGAGGAUGCGAGCGUUAUCCGGAUUUAUUGGGUUUAAAGGGUGCGCAGGCGGUCUGUUAAGUCAGCGGUCAAAGCCCGGGGCUCAACCCCGGCCCGCCGUUGAAACUGGCAGUCUCGAGUUGGAGAGAAGUAUGCGGAAUGCGCGGUGUAGCGGUGAAAUGCAUAGAUAUCGCGCAGAACUCCGAUUGCGAAGGCAGCAUGCCGGCUCCACACUGACGCUGAGGCACGAAAGCGUGGGUAUCGAACAGGAUUAGAUACCCUGGUAGUCCACGCAGUAAACGA
This 652-nucleotide ribosomal RNA is filed under the name uncultured bacterium. RNAcentral describes it as "bacterial SSU rRNA". It matches the Rfam family "Bacterial small subunit ribosomal RNA", at positions 159 to 809 of the family's 1533-position model. The record is from RNAcentral.